CCUACGGGAGGCAGCAGUGGGGAAUAUUGCACAAUGGGGGAAACCCUGAUGCAGCGACGCCGCGUGAGUGAAGAAGUAUUUCGGUACGUAAAGCUCUAUCAGCAGGGAAGAAAAUGACGGUACCUGACUAAGAAGCCCCGGCUAACUACGUGCCAGCAGCCGCGGUAAUACGUAGGGGGCAAGCGUUAUCCGGAUUUACUGGGUGUAAAGGGAGCGUCGACGGCAGCGCAAGUCUGGAGUGAAAUCCCAUGGCUUAACCAUGGAACUGCUUUGGAAACUGUGCAGCUAGAGUGCAGGAGAGGUAAGCGGAAUUCCUAGUGUAGCGGUGAAAUGCGUAGAUAUUAGGAGGAACACCAGUUGCGAAGGCAGCUUACUGGACUGUAACUGACGUUGAGGCUCGAAAGCGUGGGGAGCAAACAGGAUUAGAUACCCCUGUAGUC
Molecule: ribosomal RNA, 440 nt
Filed under: uncultured bacterium
Lineage: Bacteria
Description: partial 16S ribosomal RNA
Rfam family: Bacterial small subunit ribosomal RNA
Source: RNAcentral